Molecule: transfer RNA, 66 nt
Filed under: Paragonimus westermani
Lineage: Eukaryota; Metazoa; Platyhelminthes; Trematoda; Plagiorchiida; Troglotrematidae
Description: tRNA-Thr
Source: RNAcentral
AGGAAGUGUAGUUUAUCGUUAGAAUGCUGCUUUUGUAAAGCAGCGGUGUGAUUUUGUGACUUCUUU